GAUCCUGGCUCAGGACGAACGCUGGCGGCGUGCCUAAUACAUGCAAGUCGAACGAGAGCGACCGGUGCUUGCACUGGUCAAUCUAGUGGCGAACGGGUGAGUAACACGUGGGUAACCUGCCCAUCAGGAGGGGGAUAACAUCCGGAAACGGAUGCUAAAACCGCAUAGGUCUUCGAGCCGCAUGGCUUGAAGAGGAAAAGAGGCGCAAGCUUCUGCUGAUGGAUGGACCCGCGGUG
RNAcentral lists this ribosomal RNA (236 nucleotides) under uncultured bacterium. RNAcentral's name for it is "partial 16S ribosomal RNA". It matches the Rfam family "Bacterial small subunit ribosomal RNA", at positions 15 to 238 of the family's 1533-position model. The record is from RNAcentral.